This 1372-nucleotide ribosomal RNA is filed under the name uncultured bacterium. RNAcentral describes it as "bacterial SSU rRNA". It matches the Rfam family "Bacterial small subunit ribosomal RNA", at positions 28 to 1381 of the family's 1533-position model. The record is from RNAcentral.
GAUGAACGCUGGCGGCGUGCCUAAUACAUGCAAGUCGAGCGAACGGACGAGAAGCUUGCUUCUCUGAUGUUAGCGGCGGACGGGUGAGUAACACGUGGAUAACCUACCUAUAAGACUGGGAUAACUUCGGGAAACCGGAGCUAAUACCGGAUAAUAUUUUGAACCGCAUGGUUCAAAAGUGAAAGACGGUCUUGCUGUCACUUAUAGAUGGAUCCGCGCUGCAUUAGCUAGUUGGUAAGGUAACGGCUUACCAAGGCAACGAUGCAUAGCCGACCUGAGAGGGUGAUCGGCCACACUGGAACUGAGACACGGUCCAGACUCCUACGGGAGGCAGCAGUAGGGAAUCUUCCGCAAUGGGCGAAAGCCUGACGGAGCAACGCCGCGUGAGUGAUGAAGGUCUUCGGAUCGUAAAACUCUGUUAUUAGGGAAGAACAUAUGUGUAAGUAACUGUGCACAUCUUGACGGUACCUAAUCAGAAAGCCACGGCUAACUACGUGCCAGCAGCCGCGGUAAUACGUAGGUGGCAAGCGUUAUCCGGAAUUAUUGGGCGUAAAGCGCGCGUAGGCGGUUUUUUAAGUCUGAUGUGAAAGCCCACGGCUCAACCGUGGAGGGUCAUUGGAAACUGGAAAACUUGAGUGCAGAAGAGGAAAGUGGAAUUCCAUGUGUAGCGGUGAAAUGCGCAGAGAUAUGGAGGAACACCAGUGGCGAAGGCGACUUUCUGGUCUGUAACUGACGCUGAUGUGCGAAAGCGUGGGGAUCAAACAGGAUUAGAUACCCUGGUAGUCCACGCCGUAAACGAUGAGUGCUAAGUGUUAGGGGGUUUCCGCCCCUUAGUGCUGCAGCUAACGCAUUAAGCACUCCGCCUGGGGAGUACGAUCGCAAGGUUGAAACUCAAAGGAAUUGACGGGGACCCGCACAAGCGGUGGAGCAUGUGGUUUAAUUCGAAGCAACGCGAAGAACCUUACCAAAUCUUGACAUCCUUUGACAACUCUAGAGAUAGAGCCUUCCCCUUCGGGGGACAAAGUGACAGGUGGUGCAUGGUUGUCGUCAGCUCGUGUCGUGAGAUGUUGGGUUAAGUCCCGCAACGAGCGCAACCCUUAAGCUUAGUUGCCAUCAUUAAGUUGGGCACUCUAAGUUGACUGCCGGUGACAAACCGGAGGAAGGUGGGGAUGACGUCAAAUCAUCAUGCCCCUUAUGAUUUGGGCUACACACGUGCUACAAUGGACAAUACAAGGGGCAGCGAAACCGCGAGGUCAAGCAAAUCCCAUAAAGUUGUUCUCAGUUCGGAUUGUAGUCUGCAACUCGACUACAUGAAGCUGGAAUCGCUAGUAAUCGUAGAUCAGCAUGCUACGGUGAAUACGUUCCCGGGUCU